Molecule: ribosomal RNA, 450 nt
Filed under: uncultured bacterium
Lineage: Bacteria
Description: partial 16S ribosomal RNA
Rfam family: Bacterial small subunit ribosomal RNA
Source: RNAcentral
AACGAACGCUGGCGGCAUGCCUAACACAUGCAAGUCGAACGAUGCUUUCGGGCAUAGUGGCGCACGGGUGCGUAACGCGUGGGAAUCUGCCCUUUGGUUCGGAAUAACAGCGAGAAAUUGCUGCUAAUACCGGAUGAUGACGUUAAGUCCAAAGAUUUAUCGCCAGAGGAUGAGCCCGCGUAGGAUUAGCUGGUUGGUGUGGUAAAGGCGCACCAAGGCGACGAUCCUUAGCUGGUCUGAGAGGAUGAUCAGCCACACUGGGACUGAGACACGGCCCAGACUCCUACGGGAGGCAGCAGUGGGGAAUAUUGGACGAUGGGCGCAAGCCUGAUCCAGCAAUGCCGCGUGAGUGAUGAAGGCCUUAGGGUUGUAAAGCUCUUUUACCCGUGAUGAUAAUGACAGUAGCGGGAGAAUAAGCCCCGGCUAACUCCGUGCCAGCCGCCGCAGUAA